RNAcentral lists this long non-coding RNA (2995 nucleotides) under Drosophila guanche. The stretch from base 993 to 1073 matches the Rfam family "Small nucleolar RNA Me28S-Cm3227". Lineage: Eukaryota; Metazoa; Arthropoda; Insecta; Diptera; Drosophilidae. The record is from RNAcentral.
AUUUGACAACCCUACUGGAUUAUCAUUUAUCAUCCAUCAUCCAUGGUUCUUUCUUUCGAAAAUUUUAUUGAACUGGGUUGGAUGCGUUGCUGCGAGAAAAACCAAAAAAUGAAAACGACAAAGCAUAGUUGGUCAAAUGCUUUGCAUUAUAAGAUGAAAAAAAGUUAAAAGAGCAAAAGGAUUGCUGCAGAAUUCAUGGAUUAAAAAUAGGUAUGUAUAGAAAUCAGAUGCGUGAGUUUGCAAUUUUAUGAUGAAUGUUCUAUUUCUGAAGAGUCGAGUGCCAGGUCUUCGGGCCUGGCAUUCUUUUCCUGUAGAAAGAAUAAGAACGGCCAACUGAUAAAUCAUUUCACUUAAAUAAAUGCGUUAAACAAUCGAAUGGCAAUUAAAGAAAUGGAUAUUCUCUCGUUUCUAGAUAUGAGGCUCCCUGAGGCCGCCUCAACACGUGGUCUGGUUUGCCGGCUUUGCUAAUAUGGUAGGUACUCCUUGCUGUGUAUAAUGAUUUUACAAUUUGUAUGUGAUGAUAAGUUCAAUCUGAACAGAGUAUUGUUGAUUUUCAACUUAAAAUUAAACCAAACGGAUUCUGAAAAAUAAUUUUACAAAGCAACAGAGUGAAAAUUUACAAGAAGUCUAAUUUAACCUAAAUUACUCCUCAUUUUAGGGUAAUUUUUCAACAAAGGGCAGCUUUUCAUAACCUGGGAACUGGAAAUAUAUGAUGCAGAGGUAAGUUUCUUUUUGUUAUUUUCUAGCGUCGUUUAUGUGAUGAUAAGUUCAAUCUGAACAAAGUGCUGUUGAUCACCAACUUACAAUUAAACCAAAAGGAUUCUGAAAUUUUUAUAUUAUAAAGAAAUGUGAUAAAAGCCAACCUGAAUGUGAUACUAAUCAAUUUUUUCUUUAAUUUGUAGCGCCACAUUUCAAUAUGCCGUCAAUUUAGUUGGGCGCUCGAAUCGGAAAACGUGUCGAAGGUGGGUUCCGUUACUUCUUGUUUAUAUUCAAUUACAUGAUGAUAAGUUCAAUCUGAACAAAGUGCUGUUGAUUCACAACUUAAAAUUAAACCAAAAGGAUUCUGACAAAAAAAAAGAUAGUCCUUUCCGUUUUAUAACACAUGGAAAAUGGAACUUAACCUAAUUUUUUUCUGUAUGUUUCAGAUGCAUUUGCUGAUCAGCCGCUUUUAUCGUACCGCGGAUGUGCUUUUUGGGUAAGUUUCAGCAUUGGUUGAAUAAUGUAUUAAAUUUAUAUGAUGACAGUAAUUACCGUAUGAUUUUAUUGAUUUCAAACUUCAUGGCUGCAAUUAUUGCAACUGAUUAUUUUUGGAAUCAACGAAAUCUGUGUGUUCUAGAGACAUUUUAUUAAUAAGAGCAUACAUUUUUAUUUUCAGAAAUGAUUCAACAUGAAAACGGAACUGCCAAGACACAAUUCUGGUUUUACCAUGCAUUUAAUUAAGGUAAAUAUAAAGAUGAUAUCCAUGUAGAAAUUGAUACAUUUUGAAUAUGAUGAUAGUAAUUACCGUAUGAUGUCUUUGAUUAAAACACCAUGGCUGCAAUUAUUGCAACUGAUUAUCUUUGAAAUACAUGUCAUUAUUUGCCAUGCUAGUCAUAUUUUAUACUAAUCAAUGAUUUUUCAAUUUGCAGUGAACCUCUGUUAAAAGAAGUCUGAAAUAUGAACGGCUCCAUUAGCAAGAUUCUAUAUGGAUUUCACGUACUAUCAAGCUAGGUAAGUUAAGCUGCAACAUACGUCAGACUGUAAAGCUAGUUCAAAUAUUUAUAUGAUGAAUACCUUUUAUCUAUUAACUUUCGUUCUACUGAGUAGAAAAUGCGGAGAAAUUUACCUGAUUUAACUUAGCUAUUAUAUUGAUACAAAGUCAGAGUCUAAGUGAUGUUAAUAGCCAUUUUCACGUCUUCUUUACAGUCCAAAGUCCGACAUGGCCUGAAGACUUCUCUGGAUUGUAUUGAUUCUACUGGUAUGUGUUCUAUAUCAAUCGCUUUACCUUAAAUUCUUAAAAUGAUGUUACUUCAUAGUAUAGUUCAUUAGAAUUCCACAUGUUACAACGUUUUCGAAGCUGAUAUUGUCUUCAAACAAGCUUCAGGCGUCCCACCAUAGCAAAUCUUAUUCAUUUAUUAUUUUUCUUGCAGCUCCAAUGAUUUGCUUUCCACCAGUCGGAACAGAUGUAGCCAUACAAUGUUAUAAGGAAGGUGCCGCCACGUCCAUAUCUAUUGCCUGAUAUAAAGGUAGAGUUCUGGAAACUUUCUUACGAUUUUUUUGUUGUAAAGCGUUUUAUUUGAUGAAUAUCCUAACUCAGGAUUCCCUCUUCUGAGUAGAACCCUAAACAACCAUGCUGUUCACUUUUCCCUGUCUGAACAUAAAACGCUUAACAAUAACAAUUGUUUGCAUAUUAAAUAUUUAUGAAUUUGCCUAAUGAAUUAUUUUACACUUGCAGAUUGAUCAUUACUGUAGGAUACGACACUUGCUUGAGUUCCUUUUGAAGUUUGAAGUUUGGAAAACAUAUUUAAAGGUAAGAUCAAAUUUCGGUUGAGUGAAAAUUAUACAAUUUCUUUGAUGAAUAUCCUAACUCAGGAUUCCCUCUUCUGAGUAGAACCCUAAACAACCAUGCUGUUCACUUUUCCCUGUCUGAACAUAAUACGCUACAAAAAUAUUAUUGUGUAUUUCAUAUUUUGUAUUAAACUCGAACUAUUUAUUUUAUUUGCAGGUAGCUUUAACGCAUUUUGGACUCAUAAAUACAUCAGAGAGGAGGUAAAAUAUGAUUUCAUUAAUCUUGUUGCUCUUUUGAAAUGAUGAAGAAGCCCUUAGUGGUUUUAUUUUCUUAGAAUCUCAAACAUCAUGCUGAUUUUGUCUUCUUUCCCCAACUGACACAUCAUUUCAAUCGAAUACUUGAAUACGUUUAUCAACACAAAGUUCUAAUUAUGUUAUUUCUCUCUCUCUUGCAGGUUAUUGUGUUACAGAAUAAAAUGUUGAAAAUAAAAGUUAAUUGAAAGUCAAA